ACGGAGGCAGCAGUGGGGAAUAUUGCACAAUGGGCACAAGCCUGAUGCAGCGAUGCCGCGUGAGGGAAGAAGGUUUUCGGAUUGUAAACCUCUGUCAUCGGGGACGAUAAUGACUGUACCCGAGAAGGAAGCUCCGGCUAACUACGUGCCAGCAGCCGCGGUAAUACGUAGGGAGCGAGCGUUAUCCGGAAUUACUGGGUGUAAAGGGAGUGUAGGCGGGACUGUAAGUCAGAUGUGAAAUAUACCGGCUCAACUGGUAGACUGCAUUUGAAACUGCGGUUCUUGAGUGAAGUAGAGGUAAGCGGAAUUCCUAGUGUAGCGGUGAAAUGCGUAGAUAUUAGGAGGAACAUCAGUGGCGAAGGCGGCUUACUGGGCUUUAACUGACGCUGAGGCUCGAAAGCGUGGGGAGCAAACAGGAUUAGAUACCCUGGUA
RNAcentral lists this ribosomal RNA (433 nucleotides) under uncultured Ruminococcus sp. Its description in RNAcentral is "bacterial SSU rRNA". It matches the Rfam family "Bacterial small subunit ribosomal RNA", at positions 341 to 792 of the family's 1533-position model. The record is from RNAcentral. Lineage: Bacteria; Bacillati; Bacillota; Clostridia; Eubacteriales; Oscillospiraceae.